Molecule: non-coding RNA, 1041 nt
Organism: Dermatophagoides farinae (American house dust mite)
Lineage: Eukaryota; Metazoa; Arthropoda; Arachnida; Sarcoptiformes; Pyroglyphidae
Source: RefSeq, a predicted model, not a curated record
GAAUAUUAUUAUUAUUGUUCUGAUGAUGAUGAUGAUGAUCAUACGAGCAACAAUAGUAAUUGUUUUAUUAUAACGAUGCAACCAUAUUGUAGGAUGCGAGGAAAAAAAUUGCCUGCGAUUCUUUUGUGAUCAAUUGUUCACAGAAUAAGGAAAAGGUAGAAUGUGUCUAAUGAAUUUUUUUUUUUUUUGCACAAAAUCUGUAUAAACAAAGUUUUCGUCAUGUUUAUUUCUUGAUCAUUCAAAUCUAUCCCAUAGUUCUUGUUCUUGUUCUCUGUCUGCGUGUGUAUGUUUAAUGUUGAAAGUAACAUUGAAAAACGUGAUUAUUCUUGAUGUGAUGACGAUGGUAUUGGCAUCGAUUCACAUUUAGCAUUUCGAGUAUUAUUACGAAUAAAGUUGGUAGCUGUUGCAAAUACAACUACAACUUUAUGUAGAUCAUUUUGUUUGUAUAUACAAUGAGCAAUGAAUAUUCUUCGUUUAAUUCUUUCUUUGGUUAUGAAUGACGAAUCAAAUUGUCGUCGUUGUUGUUAUUGUUGAAAAGGAUGUAUGUUUUUUAAGCAACAAGUUUACAACACACAUCUUUAUAAUGUGGAAAAUGUAAAAUCCGGUUGGUCAGUGAUGAUUGUGAACUCUAAAUAAAAACUGGAAGAUAAUUUUCAGAUAAAAAUCUAUCCUGGUUUUAAUAAUAAAAAAAAUUGUGAUCAUUGUGAAAACUUCAUCUCAAUUCCUAAUCGAAUCAUCAGUGUACAGUGUGUUACGAAUUAAUCAGCCAAUAAUUUGUAAAUAAUAAUCAUCAUCGCUGACGAAAAUUACGUUUCAAUGAAAGAAUCAUCAAUCAAUCAUUAUUCUCUUAUUAAAUCGGUCCACAUUGACAAUUUUUUUUUAAUGUGAUGAUCAUCGACAUCAACAAAACAUCACCAUGGUUAUUGUGGUCGGCUUGGUAAUCGUCCAAUGGUGAUGACGGUGAUGUAUCGUCUCAUGAUUAUAACCGGUAACUAUAACGGUUGAAACAUAUACACACACACAUAGUGUGUCAGGAGUGGA